GUCCACACAACGCUCUGAUUGGCCGGUUCCCCCUAAUCGUUCCCCUGCGAUUGGUCCGUUGCGGAUGACAGUGUGAGCACGCUCUAAGAAUCUUUUAACACGGCACGCCAAAGUCCGACCUAUAAAGAACCGACCCGCUGCAACUCCCUCAACAACCAACCCACAGUUCCAACUUGUCUACUGCAGCUGAUAAAAACUACCCAACGGAAUCAACAUGACUAAAGAUUGUUGCCAAGGCAAAUGCUCGUGUGGAGACAACUGCAAAUGCGGACCCAACUGCGCUCAAUGCCCGGCUGCCGCAACCUGCGCAUGCGCUACUGGUGGUGAAUGUAAAUGCAGCGGCAACUGCCAAUGCAGUACCAGCUGCCCGUGCAAAUCGGCCUGCUGCAAGUAAACGACUACACCUCACGUCCCUCGCAACAUUUCAACUCUAAAAAACCUGUAAUCAUAAAAACAUUAUCCAAGCGGUUUCGAAAUAAACAUUUUUAAAUUCUA
Molecule: long non-coding RNA, 495 nt
Organism: Daphnia pulex (common water flea)
Lineage: Eukaryota; Metazoa; Arthropoda; Branchiopoda; Diplostraca; Daphniidae
Exons: 3
Source: RefSeq, a predicted model, not a curated record